GGUGGAGCGAUUUGUCUGGUUAAUUCCGAUAACGAACGAGACUCUAGCCUGCUAAAUAGUUCGUCGAUGGCACUCUGUCGGCGCUAACUUCUUAGAGGGACAAGUGGCGUUCAGUCACACGAGAUUGAGCAAUAACAGGUCUGUGAUGCCCUUAGAUGUUCGGGGCCGCACGCGCGCUACACUGAAAGAAUCAGAGUGCGUUAUACCUAGUUCGGAAGAACCGGGUAACCCAAGUAAAUUCUUUCGUGCUUGGGAUAGGGAAUUGCAAUUAUUUCCCUUAAACGAGGAAUUCCCAGUAAAUGCGGGUCAUAAGCUCGCGUUGAAUACGUCCCUGCCCUUUGUAC
Molecule: ribosomal RNA, 344 nt
Filed under: Nematoda environmental sample
Lineage: Eukaryota; Metazoa; Nematoda
Description: SSU rRNA
Rfam family: Eukaryotic small subunit ribosomal RNA
Source: RNAcentral